RNAcentral lists this ribosomal RNA (497 nucleotides) under uncultured bacterium. RNAcentral's name for it is "partial 16S ribosomal RNA". It matches the Rfam family "Bacterial small subunit ribosomal RNA", at positions 28 to 507 of the family's 1533-position model. The record is from RNAcentral.
GAUGAACGCUGGCGGCGUGCCUAAUACAUGCAAGUCGAGCGAACGGACGAGAAGCUUGCUUCUCUGAUGUUAGCGGCGGACGGGUGAGUAACACGUGGAUAACCUACCUAUAAGACUGGGAUAACUUCGGGAAACCGUAGCUAAUACCGGAUAAUAUUUUGAACCGCAUGGUUCAAAAGUGAAAGACGGUCUUGCUGUCACUUAUAGAUGGAUCCGCGCUGCAUUAGCUAGUUGGUAAGGUAACGGCUUACCAAGGCAACGAUGCAUAGCCGACCUGAGAGGGUGAUCGGCCACACUGGAACUGAGACACGGUCCAGACUCCUACGGGAGGCAGCAGUAGGGAAUCUUCCGCAAUGGGCGAAAGCCUGACGGAGCAACGCCGCGUGAGUGAUGAAGGUCUUCGGAUCGUAAAACUCUGUUAUUAGGGAAGAACAUAUGUGUAAGUAACUGUUCACAUCUUGACGGUACCUAAUCAGAAAGCCACGGCUAACUACGUG